This 605-nucleotide ribosomal RNA is filed under the name uncultured bacterium. RNAcentral's name for it is "bacterial SSU rRNA". It matches the Rfam family "Bacterial small subunit ribosomal RNA", at positions 35 to 649 of the family's 1533-position model. The record is from RNAcentral.
GCUGGCGGUGCGCCUUAUGCCUGCAGUCGAGCGAAGCUUUUCAGUAGUUUACUACAGAAAAUGACUGAGCGGCGAACGGGUGAGUAACGCGUGAGCAAUCUACCUUAGUUACAGGGAUAGCCCGAGGAAACUCGGAUUAAUACCUGAUAUUCUUUUUAUCUCGCAUGAGAUUUUAAGGAAAGGUCAGCCGAACUAAGAUGAGCUCGCGUUCUAUCAGCUAGUUGGUGAGGUAAUAGCUCACCAAGGCUACGACGGAUAGCUGGUCUGAGAGGACGAUCAGCCACACUGGGACUGAGACACGGCCCAGACUCCUACGGGAGGCUGCAGCAGGGAAUAUUGCGCAAUGAGCGAAAGCUUGACGCAGCGACACCGCGUGUGGGAUGACGGAUCUAGGUUUGUAAACCACUUUCAGGAGGGAAGAAAAUGACGGUACCUCCACAAGAAGCCCCGGCCAACUACGUGCCAGCAGCCGCGGUAAUACGUAGGGGGCGAGCGUUGUCCGGAUUUAUUGGGCGUAAAGAGCUCGUAGGCGGUUCAACAAGUCGGUCGUGAAAGUUCAGGGCUCAACCCUGAAAUGUCGAUCGAUACUGUUGUGACUAGGAUAC